UACAGAGGUCCCAAGCGUUGUUCGGAUUCACUGGGCGUAAAGGGUGCGUAGGCGGUCGGGUAAGUCUGAUGUGAAAUCUCACAGCUUAACUGUGAAACUGCAUUGGAUACUAUCCGGCUCGAGGAAUGGAGGGGAGACUGGAAUACUUGGUGUAGCAGUGAAAUGCGUAGAUAUCAAGUGGAACACCAGUGGCGAGGGCGAGUCUCUGGACAUUUCCUGACGCUGAGGCACGAAAGCCAGGGGAGCAAACGGG
This 253-nucleotide ribosomal RNA is filed under the name uncultured bacterium. Its description in RNAcentral is "partial 16S ribosomal RNA". It matches the Rfam family "Bacterial small subunit ribosomal RNA", at positions 524 to 776 of the family's 1533-position model. The record is from RNAcentral.